Ornithorhynchus anatinus (platypus) is the source of this 198-nucleotide small nuclear RNA. RefSeq annotates it as U2 spliceosomal RNA. NCBI's taxonomy places the organism in Eukaryota, Metazoa, Chordata, Mammalia, Monotremata, Ornithorhynchidae. The record is from RefSeq and is a predicted model, not a curated record. The transcript has a single exon.
AUCGCUUCUCGGCCUUUUGGGUACGACCAAGUGGAGUACCUGUUUUUAUCAGUUUAAUAUCUACCACAUCUAUGUCCUCAAUUUGAGGAUACUAUAUUUAGCGUCCUUUUGGGGGUACGGAGGUGGGUUGGGAGCUUGUUCCGUUUCCUUCACACAUUGGCCUGAUAUUGCAGUGCUUCCAGAACGGGUGCCUUUCCA